RNAcentral lists this ribosomal RNA (251 nucleotides) under uncultured prokaryote. RNAcentral describes it as "partial 16S rRNA". It matches the Rfam family "Bacterial small subunit ribosomal RNA", at positions 525 to 777 of the family's 1533-position model. The record is from RNAcentral.
ACGAGUGGUGCAAGCGUUAUUCGGAAUCAUUGGGCGUACAGGGCGUGUAGGUGGUAUGUUAAGUCUGUUGUUAAAGAUUCUAGCCUAACUGGAGAAAGGCAAUGGAAACUGGUGUACUAGAGGGGGGAAGAGAGAAGUGGAAUUCUCGGUGGAGUGUUUUUUAGUGCAUAGCUCGAUAGGGGGAGCGAAGGCGAGGGCAGCAAAUAAGUAAAUACACCAGUUUUGGGCGUGGAAGGGAGGAGUGUACGUAA